This 241-nucleotide unclassified non-coding RNA is filed under the name plant metagenome. RNAcentral describes it as "partial contains small subunit ribosomal RNA, internal transcribed spacer 1, and 5.8S ribosomal RNA". The record is from RNAcentral.
UUUCCGUAGGUGAACCUGCGGAAGGAUCAUUAUUGAAUGAAACACUUCUGGCUUUAUGCUGUUGUGCUGGCCCUUUGGGCAAAGUGCACACGGCUCUGGUCACUUGUUUCUUCUGUUCCACCUGUGCACUGCCUGUAGACACGCUGUGUCUAUGAUAUUUGUUAACACACAACAAUGUUAGUUGGCAUGUUAUAUAUAAUAAUAAAAUAUACAACUUUCAACAACGGAUCUCUUGGCUCUC